Molecule: ribosomal RNA, 429 nt
Filed under: Pseudomonadota bacterium
Lineage: Bacteria; Pseudomonadati; Pseudomonadota
Description: Proteobacteria bacterium partial 16S ribosomal RNA
Rfam family: Bacterial small subunit ribosomal RNA
Source: RNAcentral
UGGGGAAUAUUGGACAAUGGGCGAAAGCCUGAUCCAGCCAUGCCGCGUGUGUGAAGAAGGUCUUCGGAUUGUAAAGCACUUUAAGUUGGGAGGAAGGGCAGUAAGCGAAUACCUUGCUGUUUUGACGUUACCGACAGAAUAAGCACCGGCUAACUCUGUGCCAGCAGCCGCGGUAAUACAGAGGGUGCAAGCGUUAAUCGGAAUUACUGGGCGUAAAGCGCGCGUAGGUGGUUCGUUAAGUUGAAUGUGAAAGCCCCGGGCUCAACCUGGGAACUGCAUCCAAAACUGGCCAGCUUGAGUAGGGCAGAGGGUGGUGGAAUUUCCUGUGUAGCGGUGAAAUGCGUAGAUAUAGGAAGGAACACCAGUGGCGAAGGCGACCACCUUGGCUCAUACUGACACUGAGGUGCGAAAGCGUGGGGAGCAAACAGG